GUGUUGUAUGAAAUGAGAGAAGGUUAGCAUUCCCCUUGUCAAGGAUGGAGGAAGUCCUUGGGCAUAACAACAUGGAUACAGUUAAUGCUUUGAUAUUUAGUUCCUGGCAUCUAACCAUCAUUUAAA
Small nuclear RNA from Perognathus longimembris pacificus (Pacific pocket mouse), 126 nucleotides. The record is from RefSeq and is a predicted model, not a curated record. NCBI's taxonomy places the organism in Eukaryota, Metazoa, Chordata, Mammalia, Rodentia, Heteromyidae.